Molecule: ribosomal RNA, 497 nt
Filed under: uncultured bacterium
Lineage: Bacteria
Description: partial 16S ribosomal RNA
Rfam family: Bacterial small subunit ribosomal RNA
Source: RNAcentral
GAUGAACGCUGGCGGCGUGCCUAAUACAUGCAAGUCGAGCGAACGGACGAGAAGCUUGCUUCUCUGAUGUUAGCGGCGGACGGGUGAGUAACACGUGGAUACCCUACCUAUAAGACUGGGAUAACUUCGGGACACCGGAGCUAAUCCCGGAUAAUCUUUUGAACCGCAUGGUUCAAAAGUGAAAGACGGUCUUGCUGUCACUUAUAGCUGGAUCCGCGCUGCAUUAGCUAGUUGGUAAGGUAACGGCUUACCAAGGCAACGAUGCAUAGCCGACCUGAGAGAGUGAUCGGCGACACUGGAACGGGGACACGGUCCAGACUCCUACGGGAGGCAGCAGUAGGGAAUCUUCCGCAAUGGGCGAGAGCCUGACGGAGCAACGCCACGUGAGUGAUGAAGGUCUUCGGAUCGUAAAACUCUGUUAUUAGUGAAGAACAUAUGUGUAAGUAACUGUGCACAUCGUGACGGUACCUAAUCAGAAAGCCACGGCUAACUACGUG